RNAcentral lists this ribosomal RNA (459 nucleotides) under uncultured bacterium. RNAcentral's name for it is "partial 16S ribosomal RNA". It matches the Rfam family "Bacterial small subunit ribosomal RNA", at positions 338 to 795 of the family's 1533-position model. The record is from RNAcentral.
CCUACGGGGGGCAGCAGUGAGGAAUAUUGGUCAAUGGACGCAAGUCGGAACCAGCCAUGCCGCGUGCAGGAAGACGGCGCGAUGAGUUGUAAACUGCUUUUGUACGAGGGUAAACGCAGAUACGCGUAUCUGUCUGAAAGUAUCGUACGAAUAAGGAUCGGCUAACUCCGUGCCAGCAGCCGCGGUAAUACGGAGGAUUCAAGCGUUAUCCGGAUUUAUUGGGUUUAAAGGGUGCGUAGGCGGAUUUUUAAGUCAGCGGUAAAAUGUCCGGGCUCAACCCGGGCCGGCCGUUGAAACUGGGGUUCUUGAGUGGGCGAGCAGUAUGCGGAAUGCGUGUUGUAGCGGUGAAAUGCCUAGCUUUCACGCAGAACUCCGAUUGCGCAGGCAGCAUCCCGGCGCCCGACUGACGCUGAGGCACGAACGCGUGGGGAUCGUACCGGAUUCGAUACCCCUGUAGUC